This 411-nucleotide ribosomal RNA is filed under the name Triticum aestivum (bread wheat). Its description in RNAcentral is "partial small subunit ribosomal RNA". Lineage: Eukaryota; Viridiplantae; Streptophyta; Magnoliopsida; Poales; Poaceae. The record is from RNAcentral.
AUGGAUCAGGAGCUGAUCGAGCACCUUGAGGCCAAAGUGAGUGCUUACAGCGCGAGAUCUCACCCUCUCAUCGAUUUUUUCAUACCGACCAUCGACAGCGAGCACGACAUAUGCUACACCCAUCCUGAGAAACUUCCAGGGCGUUCAAAAGGGGCACGUGGACGCGUCGCAAGAUACUUGCCGGUGAUGGUCAACGGCCGGCAGACGGGCAGCAAAAAGCUUCUGGUGUUGCACACCAACAAGAACUUCGACCAGCAGAGGACCAACUGGGUGAUGCACCAGUACUACCUCGGGGACCUGGAGCAAGAGAAGGAGCAGGAGCUGGUCCUCUGCAAGAUAUUUUCGAGCAAGUUUCAACUGGGCUGUAGACUGCCCAGGCUUGGUUUUGUCUUUAACAGGCCCAGCCCAUGA